AUGAUGCCAAUGAUCUUCGUGUGCUCA
RNAcentral lists this small RNA (27 nucleotides) under Bombyx mori (domestic silkworm). RNAcentral's name for it is "ovarian small RNA-12578". Lineage: Eukaryota; Metazoa; Arthropoda; Insecta; Lepidoptera; Bombycidae. The record is from RNAcentral.